Molecule: non-coding RNA, 21 nt
Filed under: Caenorhabditis elegans
Lineage: Eukaryota; Metazoa; Nematoda; Chromadorea; Rhabditida; Rhabditidae
Source: RNAcentral
UGCGAGCUUCGCCAUUUUAGA